This is a long non-coding RNA of Symphalangus syndactylus (siamang), 2532 nucleotides long. RefSeq lists it as uncharacterized. Lineage: Eukaryota; Metazoa; Chordata; Mammalia; Primates; Hylobatidae. The record is from RefSeq and is a predicted model, not a curated record.
GGGCAUUUGAAAAUGACCAAAAAAUAUAAUGAGAAGAAAUUAGCCUGACUAGGGUGGGAGCAGGAAGAAGAAACAUAUCAUCUUCUGUGAAAGAGCCUUGCAAAUAAGAAAACGGGCCAGGGACAAAGUGCAGGAGGAAAGGCUAUCACGAUGGCUCAGAGGCUUGAAAAGAGCUCAGGAUCGGACCAUGUUCUCUGAUAUGGGACAGGCAGAGCCCCGUGAAUGAGCCAACAGGAUGGAAGUGGAGCGAUGCCAGCCCCAUAGAGGCCUGGCCCAGAGACCCUCCUGCACAAUUCUCUACACUCUCUUUCCUUGGUGGUGCCUCCCCCUGGUGUGGAGUGACCUUGGGGGCCACGUGUGGGAGAGGAAGAGGGCAGAGCCCCUGGCAGGUAGCCAAGGUCUCUCAUCAACAAGCCAAUUAACUUUUAUGUGCACGAGAAAUAAGCCUCUAUUCUACCGCCAAUGCAGAGUGGGUAGGAGGUGCUUGAUAAACGGAGCCACUUUCCUUCAUCAUGUUAAGGAUGUUGCAGGUCAGCCCUCUCCUGUGGGGCAUCACUGGCCUCUAGGGAUGGAAGGAAAUGCUUCCCUUCUCCAGCCACACUGGAUCCUGAGCGUCCCCCUCUCUUUCCACUGACCUCCCCGGACGGAUGGUAAGGGGCUCAUCCAUGCUGUCCUCCACCCUAGACUGUGGCCCUCUGAAAGUCAAGGCUGUGACUGGCCAUCCAUCUGUCUCAGCAUCCAGCACAGGGAACAAACAGAAAUGUUCAUAGGAGGUUUGCGCUGGGGGCAGCAAGUUCCCCAUCAUGUGAAGGAGGCAAGGCCGCAAAGGGGGCUCCUGACCGAGGCUGGACUAGAGGACAUGGGACUCCCUUCUCAGCCUGGAGUCUUAGAGCUUAGUUGACCACAGGCCAGGUUCUUAGCAGAGCCCCAUGGGCUAACCAUGAGCUUCUUACUCCUGAACAAACAUGGGGGUGAGCCCUGGGAAGCUGCUGUAGGCUCUGGGCCCAGGCAAGCUUCUCCCCCUGACUCCAGCCAGCAAGAGCUUGGAGACUCUGAGAGGCCUCCGGAAAAAGCUCAAGGGCUCAGGCCGUUUCUGGCCUUGCUCUGCCUGCACUGGCCAUGGGACCUUGGACUCACUGCCCAUUCUGAGCCUCAGUACAAACCCCCAUUUGUGGAUGCGAGAUGCCACCAAGACCAGGACUCUGAAAUGCUCCAUGCAGGCCACAUGGAAGGCACUGACCACACGUGAGCCAUUAUCUAUUUGCGUUUCUCCCAGGAAGGGAUCCCACAUGGGGAGAGACCCUGGAGAUACCUCUGGCCUGAGUGCUCCACUGGUGUCCAUCCACGUCUGGAAAGCUGCCCCAAGAUCAUCUUGUUGCUGGGCAAGGAAAAGACAGGGUAUGUAUUGUGGCCCCCCAGGGUUCUGCACACCCAUCAAGCAGGAGCCCCAGGGCCACAUUCCCUGGCAGGAUCUUGGCCAAGUCAUAUGCCCUCUGCAGAACUCUCGGUCCUUCCUCUCUUUGCAGACAGUCAAAGCCGACCCUGCCAUUCCCUUUCCCUAGGUACUAAUAGCUCCCCAUUGCCCUCAGGAUUAAGUUCAAACUCCUCAACAUGGUUAUAAGACCCAGUUUGAACACUGUGGUCUUGAGCCAUGUCUCUUUCCUCUCCCUCAGAUGUGCUCUGGCACCAGCUGCACUAUAGUACUUCUAAGUUCCUAAAUGCCAUGCUCCAUCUAGCCGUGGGGCCUUUGCACAUGCUGUUCUCAUUGCCUGGAGGACUUCUCCCUCCCUUCAAUGCACCAUCUGGCUAUCUCCUAUACCAGUGGUUCUCAAGGAGAGGCAACGAUGCCCCCCAGGGGAUAUUUGGCAAUACCUGGAGACAGUUUGGUUGUUCAAGCUGGGGGAGGGGGUACUACUUGCAUCUCAUGGUUAGAGGCCAGGAAUUCUGCUAAACAUCCUCCAGGACAGUCACUCACAGCUAAUAAUUAUGCAAAUGUCAGUUGCACUGUAUCUCAGAAAACCUGCCCUGGACUCAUCCUAUAGAUGUCAGUUGCGAUGGGAAGCCUCUCCCGAAGCUUCUGACUCCGGACUAAGAAGAGGGAGGCCCCCUUUCUCUAUGCCCCCAGUCCCCGUGUUUCUCCUUUGGCUCGCACUUUAAUGGUCUAAUAUAACUUUGCACCCCCAACCCUACCACCGGGCUUGGCAGAGACAUAGCUGUGGUCUUGCCAUGAAAACAGCAAAAGCUGAGGCCUGGGGUCCAGAACCGGGGACUCUGGGGCUACUCCUCAGGGUCAAAUCCCAGACCUGCCACUUACUAACUGCAUAAUCUGGGGAAAGCUGCUUAACUCUUUUCCUCAGUUCUUUCAUCUUGAAAAUGGACCUGAUAAUAAAACUCCCUCAUAAGAAUUGCUGAAAGGAACACAUGAGUGAAUACAUGAAAAGCACCUGUAGCCCGGGCACAGUGGCUCACGCCUGUAAUCCCAGCACUUUGGGAGGCCGAGGCGGGUGGAUGGCUUGAGGUCAGGAGUUCAAA